RNAcentral lists this ribosomal RNA (430 nucleotides) under uncultured bacterium. Its description in RNAcentral is "partial 16S ribosomal RNA". It matches the Rfam family "Bacterial small subunit ribosomal RNA", at positions 29 to 507 of the family's 1533-position model. The record is from RNAcentral.
AACGAACGCUGGCGGCAGGCCUAACACAUGCAAGUCGAACGCCCCGCAAGGGGAGUGGCAGCCGGGUGAGUAACACGUGGGAACCUUCCCUAUAGUACGGAAUAGCCCAGGGAAACUUGGAGUAAUACCGUAUACGCCCGAAAGGGGAAAGAAUUUCGCUAUAGGAUGGGCCCGCGUAGGAUUAGCUAGUUGGUGAGGUAAUGGCUCACCAAGGCGACGAUCCUUAGCUGGUUUGAGAGAACGACCAGCCACACUGGGACUGAGACACGGCCCGGCCUCCUGGGGGAGGCGGCGGGGGGGAAUAUUGAAAAGGGGGCGAAGGCUAGACCCACCUCGGCCGGGUGAGUAAUGAAGCCUUGAGGGUUAAAAAGCUUUUUGGGCGGGAGCUUUAAUGACGUUCCCCAAAGAAUAAGCCCCGGCUAACUUCGUG